RNAcentral lists this ribosomal RNA (496 nucleotides) under uncultured bacterium. RNAcentral describes it as "partial 16S ribosomal RNA". It matches the Rfam family "Bacterial small subunit ribosomal RNA", at positions 28 to 506 of the family's 1533-position model. The record is from RNAcentral.
GAUGAACGCUGGCGGCGUGCCUAAUACAUGCAAGUCGAGCGAACAGACGAGGAGCUUGCUCCUCUGACGUUAGCGGCGGACGGGUGAGUAACACGUGGAUAACCUACCUAUAAGACUGGGAUAACUUCGGGAAACCGGAGCUAAUACCGGAUAAUAUAUUGAACCGCAUGGUUCAAUAGUGAAAGACGGUUUUGCUGUCACUUAUAGAUGGAUCCGCGCCGCAUUAGCUAGUUGGUAAGGUAACGGCUUACCAAGGCAACGAUGCGUAGCCGACCUGAGAGGGGGAUCGGCCACACUGGAACGGAGACCCGGUCCAGACUCCUACGGGAGGCAGCAGGAGGGAAUCUGCCGCAGGGGGCGAAAGCCUGCCGGAGCAACGCCGCGGGGGUGAUGAAGGGCUGCGGAUCGUAAAACUCUGUUAUUGGGGAAGAACAAAUGUGUAAGUAAAGAUGCCCGUCUGGACGGUACCUAUUCAAAAAGCCCCGGCUAACUACGG